RNAcentral lists this ribosomal RNA (627 nucleotides) under uncultured fungus. RNAcentral describes it as "eukaryotic LSU rRNA". It matches the Rfam family "Eukaryotic large subunit ribosomal RNA", at positions 23 to 664 of the family's 3401-position model. The record is from RNAcentral. Lineage: Eukaryota; Fungi.
ACCCGCUGAACUUAAGCAUAUCAAUAAGCGGAGGAAAAGAAACCAACAGGGAUUACCUCAGUAACGGCGAGUGAAGCGGUAACAGCUCAAAUUUGAAAUCUGGGCCUUUCAGGUCCCGAGUUGUAAUUUGUAGAAGAUGCUUUGGGUGUGGUCCCGGUCUAAGUUCCUUGGAACAGGACGUCAUAGAGGGUGAGAAUCCCGUAUGUGACUGGGUGCCUUCGCCCGUGUAAAGCUCUUUCGACGAGUCGAGUUGUUUGGGAAUGCAGCUCAAAAUGGGUGGUAUAUUUCAUCUAAAGCUAAAUAUUGGCCAGAGACCGAUAGCGCACAAGUAGAGUGAUCGAAAGAUGAAAAGCACUUUGGAAAGAGAGUUAAACAGUACGUGAAAUUGUUGAAAGGGAAGCGCUUGCAACCAGACUCGCACGUCGUCGAUCAUCCGGGGUUCUCCCCGGUGCACUCGGCGGCAUUCGGGCCAGCAUCGGUUUGGGCGGCGGGACAAAAGCUGUGGGAAUGUGGCUGCCUUCGGGCAGUGUUAUAGCCCUCGGUACAAUGCCGCCCGCCCGGACCGAGGACCGCGCUUCGGCUAGGAUGCUGGCGUAAUGGUUGUAAGCGACCCGUCUUGAAACACGG